RNAcentral lists this small nucleolar RNA (134 nucleotides) under Mus pahari (shrew mouse). RNAcentral's name for it is "predicted gene, 26286 (MGP_PahariEiJ_G0034178.1)". It matches the Rfam family "Small nucleolar RNA SNORA42/SNORA80 family". Rfam says of the family: The members of this family belong to the H/ACA class of snoRNAs that guide the sites of modification of uridines to pseudouridines. Human ACA42 (SNORA42) was cloned from HeLa cells by immunoprecipitation with anti-GAR1 antibody. The record is from RNAcentral. Lineage: Eukaryota; Metazoa; Chordata; Mammalia; Rodentia; Muridae.
GCAUUAGUUUGGAUUUAUGGCAGGCCGGUUUCCCUGGGCCUCUCACAGUGUCCUGUGCUAGAGCAGCCCUUGGCCUGGAACCAUUGCCUGGCCUGUGUCUGUAGGCUGCUAGCACUGAAGUGGGUCAUACAAUA